This 425-nucleotide ribosomal RNA is filed under the name uncultured bacterium. Its description in RNAcentral is "bacterial SSU rRNA". It matches the Rfam family "Bacterial small subunit ribosomal RNA", at positions 354 to 796 of the family's 1533-position model. The record is from RNAcentral.
GUGGGGAAUAUUGGGCAAUGGGGGCAACCCUGACCCAGCAACGCCGCGUGAAGGAAGAAGGCUUUCGGGUUGUAAACUUCUUUGACGAGGGACGAUAGUGACGGUACCUCGAAAACAAGCCACGGCUAACUACGUGCCAGCAGCCGCGGUAAUACGUAGGUGGCAAGCGUUGUCCGGAUUUACUGGGUGUAAAGGGCGCGUAGGCGGGAUUGCAAGUCAGAUGUGAAAUCUCCGGGCUCAACCCGGAAAUUGCAUUUGAAACUGUAGUUCUUGAGUAUCGGAGAGGCAAGCGGAAUUCCUAGUGUAGCGGUGAAAUGCGUAGAUAUUAGGAGGAACACCAGUGGCGAAGGCGGCUUGCUGGACGACAACUGACGCUGAGGCGCGAAAGCGUGGGGAGCAAACAGGAUUAGAAACCCGAGUAGUCC